UACGUAGGGUGCGAGCGUUAAUCGGAAUUACUGGGCGUAAAGUGUGCGCAGGUGGCUGAGCAAGUCGAGUGUGAAAUCCCCGGGCUUAACUUGGGAAUUGCGCUCGAAACUACUUGGCUCGAGUGUGGCAGAGGAAGGUGGAAUUCCAGGUGUAGCGGUGGAAUGCGUAGAGAUCCGGAAGAACACCGGUGGCGAAGGCGGUCUGCUGGGCUGUGGCUGACGCUGAUGCGCGACAGCGUGGGGAGCAAACAGG
This 253-nucleotide ribosomal RNA is filed under the name uncultured bacterium. RNAcentral describes it as "partial 16S ribosomal RNA". It matches the Rfam family "Bacterial small subunit ribosomal RNA", at positions 524 to 776 of the family's 1533-position model. The record is from RNAcentral.